GGGCCGAUGGUGUAGGGGUAUCACGUUUGCUUUGCACGCAAAAGGUCUCGGGUUCGAAUCCCGAUUGGUCCA
Theileria parva strain Muguga is the source of this 72-nucleotide transfer RNA. It matches the Rfam family "tRNA". From Rfam's summary of the family: Transfer RNA (tRNA) molecules are approximately 80 nucleotides in length. Their secondary structure includes four short double-helical elements and three loops (D, anti-codon, and T loops). The record is from Rfam. Lineage: Eukaryota; Apicomplexa; Aconoidasida; Piroplasmida; Theileriidae.